AGAGUUUGAUUCUGGCUCAGAAUGAACGCUGGCGGCGUGCCUAACACAUGCAAGUCGGACGCGAAAGCUCCUUCGGGAGUGUAGAGUGGCGCACGGGUGAGUAACGCGUAGGUAAUCUACCUCUGGAUUGGGGAUAACUCUGCGAAAGCGGAGCUAAUACCGAAUGGUCUGGCUUUAUUUUGAUGAAGUCGGUAAAGGAUGCCUUGCAUAUGCAUCUGUCCGGAGAUGAGCCUGCGUCCCAUUAGCUAGUUGGUAGGGUAAAGGCCUACCAAGGCGACGAUGGGUAGCUGGUCUGAGAGGAUGAUCAGCCACACUGGAACUGGAACACGGUCCAGACUCCUACGGGAGGCAGCAGUGGGGAAUAUUGGGCAAUGGGCGCAAGCCUGACCCAGCAACGCCGUGUGAGGGAUGAAGGCCUUCGGGUCGUAAACCUCUGUCAGAAGGGAAGAACGGGCACAGUUCGAAUAGGGCUGUGUUUUGACGGUACCUUCAGAGGAAGCACCGGCUAACUCCGUGCCAGCAGCCGCGGUAAUACGGAGGGUGCGAGCGUUAUUCGGAAUCACUGGGCGUAAAGGGCGCGUAGGCGGCCUGGUAAGUCAGGGGUGAAAUCCCACGGCUCAACCGUGGAAUUGCCUUUGAAACUGCUGGGCUUGGAUCCUGGAGAGGGUGGCGGAAUUCCUGGUGUAGGAGUGAAAUCCGUAGAUAUCAGGAGGAACACCGGUGGCGAAGGCGGCCGCCUGGACAGGUAUCGACGCUGAGGCGCGAAAGUGUGGGGAGCAAACAGGAUUAGAUACCCUGGUAGUCCACACCGUAAACGAUGGAUACUAGGUGUUGGGGGCAUGACCCUCAGUGCCGGAGCUAACGCGUUAAGUAUCCCGCCUGGGGAGUACGGUCGCAAGGCUGAAACUCAAAGAAAUUGACGGGGGCCCGCACAAGCGGUGGAGUAUGUGGUUUAAUUCGAUGCAACGCGAAGAACCUUACCUGGGCUUGACAUCCUGGGAAUCCUGCAGAGAUGCGGGAGUGCCUUCGGGAACCCAGAGACAGGUGCUGCAUGGCUGUCGUCAGCUCGUGCCGUGAGGUGUUGGGUUAAGUCCCGCAACGAGCGCAACCCUUUUCCUUAUUUGCCAGCACUUUGGGUGGGAACUUUAAGGAUACUGCCAGUGACAAACUGGAGGAAGGCGGGGACGACGUCAAGUCAUCAUGGCCCUUACGACCAGGGCUACACACGUGCUACAAUGGUCGGUACAAAGGGUUGCUACCUAGCGAUAGGAUGCUAAUCUCAAAAAGCCGAUCGUAGUCCGGAUUGGAGUCUGCAACUCGACUCCAUGAAGUCGGAAUCGCUAGUAAUCGCGGAUCAGAAUGCCGCGGUGAAUACGUUCCCGGGCCUGUACACACCCCCGUC
RNAcentral lists this ribosomal RNA (1402 nucleotides) under uncultured delta proteobacterium. Its description in RNAcentral is "bacterial SSU rRNA". It matches the Rfam family "Bacterial small subunit ribosomal RNA". Lineage: Bacteria; Deltaproteobacteria. The record is from RNAcentral.